RNAcentral lists this long non-coding RNA (902 nucleotides) under Brassica napus (rape). RNAcentral describes it as "long non-coding RNA (BNAP_LNC008556)". The record is from RNAcentral. Lineage: Eukaryota; Viridiplantae; Streptophyta; Magnoliopsida; Brassicales; Brassicaceae.
CGUCUGGGUGUGUGGGAACAAUGAGGAAACUCCAAAAAUGAGUUGUUGAAUUGCAGUGGGUGUAGUAGCUUUUCCAUGGAGAGAGUGGUUAGCUUUUUCCCUCAAGAGGUGGGGACGUAUCUCUUUUGCUUUUGUCUCCUGGUACAAUAGCCGCCAAGUUUUCAUUUAGUAUUGUUAUUCUCUCUGACAAGUGACAACCAUGAUCAAUAAUAAAACAUUCAUAGCGUCCCCGUAAUUGAGUAUUUUAAGUGAGUUUUUAGACUAAAUAAUUUCAUAUAUUUAAUACAAUUAUUUAAACUUCUAUUAUUUUUAAAUGAUCACUGUAAAUUUGUUUAUAUCUCAUAAUGUAGUUUUUUCUUCUUCAUUUUCCUUAUUUACUCUUGAAAUACUAUUCUCUAUAUCAGAUAUAUUCUUCCAUUAAUUGAUAUAUUUUCUCUGCUAACAUUGUUUUGAAUAAUCUACAUAUAUAGUAGUAUGAUUUCAAAUAUCACUAAAGUCAUGACUAUAAUUUCGUAAAUGGUAACUAGAAAGUAAAUCUGUGACUGUGAACAAUGAUGGAUAAGUGUAUAAUGAUUACUGAUUAUGGAGCACCGUGCGUAACGUGCAAGGCUGCUGCAAGCCUUUUAUAACAGUUAAUCAUCGUUCCUUAUUUAAACAUAUAUGUACUUUUCAUGAUCUAGAGAUCACAAACCCAAAAAAAAAAACACAGAGAGAAUAAAAAAAAAAUGGAAAAGCAAGAUAUCAUCUUCGUACCUUCUCCAGGCGCUGGCCAUCUUCUUGUUUCCAUCGAAUUCGCCAAGUCUCUCAUCAAACGCGAUAACCGCAUUCACACCAUCACCAUCCUCCACUGGACGCUACCUUUCGUUCCUCAAUCCAAAAACUCAGCUAAAUCUCUUCUCGCU